CGAGCGAACAGAUAAGGAGCUUGCUCCUUUGACGUUAGCGGCGGACGGGUGAGUAACACGUGGGUAACCUACCUAUAAGACUGGGACAACUUCGGGAAACCGGAGCUAAUACCGGAUAAUAUGUUGAACCGCAUGGUUCAAUAGUGAAAGAUGGUUUUGCUAUCACUUAUAGAUGGACCCGCGCCGUAUUAGCUAGUUGGUGAGGUAACGGCUCACCAAGGCAACGAUACGUAGCCGACCUGAGAGGGUGAUCGGCCACACUGGAACUGAGACACGGUCCAGACUCCUACGGGAGGCAGCAGUAGGGAAUCUUCCGCAAUGGGCGAAAGCCUGACGGAGCAACGCCGCGUGAGUGAUGAAGGUCUUAGGAUCGUAAAACUCUGUUAUUAGGGAAGAACAAACGUGUAAGUAACUGUGCACGUCUUGACGGUACCUAAUCAGAAAGCCACGGCUAACUACGUGCCAGCAGCCGCGGUAAUACGUAGGUGGCAAGCGUUAUCCGGAAUUAUUGGGCGUAAAGCGCGCGUAGGCGGUUUUUUAAGUCUGAUGUGAAAGCCCACGGCUCAACCGUGAGGGUCAUUGGAAACUGGAAAACUUGAGUGCAGAAGAGGAAAGUGGAAUUCCAUGUGUAACGGUGAAAUGCGCAGAGAUAUGGAGGAACACCAGUGGCGAAGGCGACUUUCUGGUCUGUAACUGACGCUGAUGUGCGAAAGCGUGGGGAUCAAACAGGAUUAG
This 735-nucleotide ribosomal RNA is filed under the name uncultured Staphylococcus sp. RNAcentral's name for it is "bacterial SSU rRNA". It matches the Rfam family "Bacterial small subunit ribosomal RNA", at positions 63 to 781 of the family's 1533-position model. Lineage: Bacteria; Bacillati; Bacillota; Bacilli; Caryophanales; Staphylococcaceae. The record is from RNAcentral.